AGAGUUUGAUCAUGGCUCAGGACGAACGCUGGCGGCGUGCCUAAUACAUGCAAGUAGAACGCUGACUACUUUAGCUUGCUAGAGUAGAAGGAGUUGCGAACGGGUGAGUAACGCGUAGGUAACCUGCCUACUAGCGGGGGAUAACUAUUGGAAACGAUAGCUAAUACCGCAUAACAGUGUUUAACACAUGUUAGAUGCUUGAAAGAUGCAAAUGCAUCACUAGUAGAUGGACCUGCGUUGUAUUAGCUAGUUGGUGGGGUAACGGCCUACCAAGGCGACGAUACAUAGCCGACCUGAGAGGGUGAUCGGCCACACUGGGACUGAGACACGGCCCAGACUCCUACGGGAGGCAGCAGUAGGGAAUCUUCGGCAAUGGGGGCAACCCUGACCGAGCAACGCCGCGUGAGUGAAGAAGGUUUUCGGAUCGUAAAGCUCUGUUGUAAGAGAAGAACGUGUGUGAGAGUGGAAAGUUCACACAGUGACGGUAACUUACCAGAAAGGGACGGCUAACUACGUGCCAGCAGCCGCGGUAAUACGUAGGUCCCGAGCGUUGUCCGGAUUUAUUAGGCGUAAAGCGAGCGCAGGCGGUUUAAUAAGUCUGAAGUUAAAGGCAGUGGCUUAACCAUUGUUCGCUUUGGAAACUGUUAAACUUGAGUGCAGAAGGGGAGAGUGGAAUUCCAUGUGUAGCGGUGAAAUGCGUAGAUAUAUGGAGGAACACCGGUGGCGAAAGCGGCUCUCUGGUCUGUAACUGACGCUGAGGCUCGAAAGCGUGGGGAACAAACAGGAUUAGAUACCCUGGU
This 800-nucleotide ribosomal RNA is filed under the name uncultured bacterium. RNAcentral's name for it is "bacterial SSU rRNA". It matches the Rfam family "Bacterial small subunit ribosomal RNA", at positions 8 to 791 of the family's 1533-position model. The record is from RNAcentral.